AGUGAACGCUGGCGGUAGGCCUAACACAUGCAAGUCGAACGGCAGCACAGUAAGAGCUUGCUCUUACGGGUGGCGAGUGGCGGACGGGUGAGGAAUACAUCGGAAUCUACUUUUUCGUGGGGGAUAACGUAGGGAAACUUACGCUAAUACCGCAUACGACCUACGGGUGAAAGCAGGGGAUCUUCGGACCUUGCGCGAUUGAAUGAGCCGAUGUCGGAUUAGCUAGUUGGCGGGGUAAAGGCCCACCAAGGCGACGAUCCGUAGCUGGUCUGAGAGGAUGAUCAGCCACACUAGAACUGAGACACGGUCCAGACUCCGACGGGAGGCAGCAGUGGGGAAUAUUGGACAAUGGGCGCAAGCCUGAUCCAGCCAUACCGCGUGGGUGAAGAAGGCCUUCGGGUUGUAAAGCCCUUUUGUUGGGAAAGAAAAGCAGCAGGUUAAUACCCCGCUGUUCUGACGGUACCCAAAGAAUAAGCACCGGCUAACUUCGUG
RNAcentral lists this ribosomal RNA (492 nucleotides) under uncultured bacterium. RNAcentral describes it as "partial 16S ribosomal RNA". It matches the Rfam family "Bacterial small subunit ribosomal RNA", at positions 29 to 507 of the family's 1533-position model. The record is from RNAcentral.